UACUGCUAUAAUCUAUCAAGCCAUUUCAGUUGCUAAGAAACGCAAAGUACACAUAUUCUAUUUCAGGCAUUCUUGGAUUUCUACAACUCUCUCUUCACUUCUCGCGUGUUGAUAACUUCAAUACUACCAGUACCGGCAUGUACUAGCUCAUGCUUUAUUCAAGCUAGAGAAGGAACAGUACUUGCUGGACCUGGUCCAUAAGACUGUCGUGCACCAGGAAUUUGUAUAUCCGUGGGUCAAUUUGUAGAGUUGACGAUAACAAACCCAAUUAUUAUGAAGGAGAAUAAGCAAGAUCCUGCCCUACAUAGCCAUACACAAGGUGACGCUGUAAAUCCAAGCGGUGGUAAGGAUCUAGCAAGUAAUGCAAGAACAGCCAAAUGGAAAACAAUAGGCAUGCAGAUUUCCUUACGGCCAGAACAUAUCCUUGAACAUCGUUUACAAACGAACGUACAAGGAACCUGGAAUACCAUACUCGUAUUCUCAUGUGUGAUUGCAGUCUCAGUUGAUCCUUUGUUCUUUUACCUUCCGAUCAUUAAUGAGGAAAUCAAGUGCGUUGGAGUGGACAAAAAUUUGAGGACUGCUGCUCUUCUUUUGCGCGCUGUCACUGAUAUUGCUUUCAUCCUGAACAUUUUCUAUGAAAUUAAAAACGUCAUCGAAUAUGUAAAAUAUUCUAGAGCAAAGUUGAUGAAAAGUAAUGGAAAUAAACAGCUUCUGUUGAAAAGUAAUGGAAAUAAACAGCUUUCCAGAAGUUGGUUCCUUAAGAAAUUAGCUCGAAAGAUGCCAUGGCACUCGAUUACAAUUGAUAUUCUUGCGGUUCUCCCUAUCCCACAAGUGCUAAUGACUGUUUUCUUCAAAAUGAGAAGCUCCAAAUAUCUUGGCCGAAGAAAGAUUAUUGAUGUCUUUCUUCUUGCCCAAUAUUUACCAAGAAUUUAUCGUAUGCACCAUUCUUCACAGAAAUUCAAGCAAAGUAAGGGAGUAUAGAUCCAAGGUGUAUUCUAUUUUUUCUUGUAUAUCCUCGCCAGUCAUGUUAGUUUCUUUCAUAUAGUCAUUAGCUUUAAUCUUUUGUAUUGGAAAUUAACUAAUGGUUGAACCUAGCUAAGUGGGCUGGUUCGAGAGUGCUAUGUAAAGUUACUUCAAGGAAAGCACUAGUCAAGUAGUUACGUACAACAUAGAAUUAAAAGCUAGAACUCCUCGUAGGGAGGAAGUGGCGUUUAGUAGGAUUUAGUGUUGUUGAUUACCAUGUUCUUUAAUCAGAUUUGUUGUCUUUUAGGUGCUGGGAGGUUUUUGGUAUUUUUUCUCUAUUCAACGAGAGACAGCAUGUUGGCACCAAGCUUGUAUGAAGCAUAAUACAAGUGAAUGCAAUUUUUAUUGCAAUCAAGACAUUUCCUCUAGAAAUAUGACAUUCAUUCGUUCUCUAGAUGAAUUUUGCCUUGUUGAUGUUCCGGCAAAUGCGACCGCACCAUUUCAUUUUGGAAUAUUUCUUGAUUCCCUUAAGAGUGGUAACAUGGGGCAAAUAAAUUUCGCAAAGAAGAUCUCUUACUCUUUUUGGUGGGGACUACGAAAUCUUAGUAACUUUGGGACGAACUUGGAAACAAGUACGUAUGUGUGGGAAAACUGCUUUGCGAUCCUUACAUCUACUGUUGGCUUGCUUCUUUUCUUAUAUCUCAUUGGCAAAGUACAGACAUUUAUCUCAAUGCAAACUGAAAAAUCAGAGGAGAGAAGAAAAAAGCUUAGCUCGGCAUUGAUUGGUGUACAACUCUGGAUGAAUAAAAAUGAUCUGAAUCCAGAG
Molecule: long non-coding RNA, 1789 nt
Organism: Rosa chinensis
Lineage: Eukaryota; Viridiplantae; Streptophyta; Magnoliopsida; Rosales; Rosaceae
Exons: 7
Source: RefSeq, a predicted model, not a curated record